This is a long non-coding RNA of Glycine soja, 661 nucleotides long. RefSeq lists it as uncharacterized. The record is from RefSeq and is a predicted model, not a curated record. The transcript is spliced from 2 exons. NCBI's taxonomy places the organism in Eukaryota, Viridiplantae, Streptophyta, Magnoliopsida, Fabales, Fabaceae.
CUGUGUCUGCAACAGAUCUAAACUUUGGGGUGGGAUAUUUCUUUAGGACUAUGGUUUGGACGAGUCACUACUCAGCAGAGAACAUGCUAAUUGAUUUGUGUGCACCGCAAAAGGGGAAUAAGAUUUUCUACCUAUGGCGAGGUCUCCUCUCUUGUCCUUUUAACAAAGAUCACUCUUAAAGUCGACGUGCAAAGUCCAGGAGCCCACUUUGGCCAUGUCCACCUUGAUGUGUCUCAGCUUCAAGUUUUGGUAAGUAUAAUAGUGAUGGUGUGAUGGUGGUGGUGAUGACAAAGGCAAGCUGCGGGGGCAGUGGCAGUGGUGGUGGAAUGGUGGUGAUGGUGGUAGCUAUGACAACGACAAUUACUAACCAUUUAGCAAGUGUACCAAAUGUCCAAGUAGUAAAGACUCGGAAGUCCGAGUGUCGAUUUCCAUAGGGACUUUGUUUUGUAUUUGUGUUGGAUAAUUUUCAAUUUAUAAGAGGAAAAGAUAAAAUGAGGUAAAAAAAUAUGAAUUUAAAAGAACAGAAUAUAAAAUAAUAAAUAUUAAUAGACAAAAGAAAUAAUAGAGACUUCAAUGAGAUGAGAAUGUUAGGAUCUAACAUGCCUUAUUUGUUAUUUUUUAUUUUUCUUUAUCAAUCAGGUGAAUUUAUCCUACCCACAUC